This 493-nucleotide ribosomal RNA is filed under the name uncultured bacterium. Its description in RNAcentral is "partial 16S ribosomal RNA". It matches the Rfam family "Bacterial small subunit ribosomal RNA", at positions 29 to 507 of the family's 1533-position model. The record is from RNAcentral.
ACGAACGCUGGCGGCGUGCUUAACACAUGCAAGUCGAACGGUGAAGCGCCUUCCUUUUUGGUGGGUGUGGAUGAGUGGCGAACGGGUGAGUAACACGUGAGUAACCUGCCCCCUUCUUCUGGAUAACCGCAUGAAAGUGUGGCUAAUACGGGAUAUUCUGGGUCUGUCGCAUGAUGGGUCUGGGAAAGAUAUUGUUUCGGUGGGGGAUGGGCUCGCGGCCUAUCAGCUUGUUGGUGGGGUGAUGGCCUACCAAGGCGGUGACGGGUAGCCGGCCUGAGAGGGUGGACGGUCACACUGGGACUGAGGCACGGCCCAGACUCCUACGGGAGGCAGCAGUGGGGAAUAUUGCACAAUGGGCGCAAGCCUGAUGCAGCGACGCCGCGUGAGGGAUGGAGGCCUUCGGGUUGUGAACCUCUUUCGCCAGUGAAGCAGGCCUGCCUCGUUUGUGGGUGGGUUGACGGUAGCUGGAUAAGAAGCGCCGGCUAACUACGUG